UUUUUUUUUUUUUUAAAAAAAAUAAGAAAUUUCUUUGUUGUUUUUUCUUCUUUUGAUGAAAGAAGAAAAAACUUUUUUUUACCGUGAGCAAAAUAUGGUGUUCAUGGCAGGCAUUUUUUUGUUGCUUAUAUAUUUUAGCAUGGAAUAAUAGAAUAAGACGUUUGGUUUUAUUUUUUGUUGGAAAAAGACGCAUAUGAUAUAUGCGUCUUUUUUAGAGCCAAAGUAAUGAUUAAUAGGAAUAGUUGGGGGCAUUCGUAUUCCGUAGCUAGAGGUGAAAUUCUUGGAUUUACGGAAGACGAACGACUGCGAAAGCAUUUGCCAAGGAUGUUUUCAUUGAUCAAGA
Molecule: ribosomal RNA, 343 nt
Filed under: Cryptomonas paramaecium
Lineage: Eukaryota; Cryptophyceae; Cryptomonadales; Cryptomonadaceae
Description: Cryptomonas paramecium partial Eukaryotic small subunit ribosomal RNA
Rfam family: Eukaryotic small subunit ribosomal RNA (bases 78-335)
Source: RNAcentral